GAUGAACGCUCGCGGGAGGCCUAACACAUGCAAGCCGAGCGGUAGAGUUUCUUAGGAAACUUGAGAGCGGCGCACGGGUGCGUAACACGUGUGCAACCUACCUUUAUCUGGGGGAUAGCCUUUCGAAAGGAAGAUUAAUACCCCAUAAUAUAAUGAUUGGCAUCAAUUAUUAUUGAAAACUCCGGUGGAUAGAGAUGGGCACGCGCAAGAUUAGAUAGUUGGUGAGGUAACGGCUCACCAAGUCAAUGAUCUUUAGGGGUCCUGAGAGGGAGAUCCCCCACACUGGUACUGAGACACGGACCAGACUCCUACGGGAGGCAGCAGUGAGGAAUAUUGGACAAUGGGUGAGAGCCUGAUCCAGCCAUCCCGCGUGAAGGAUGACGGUCCUAUGGAUUGUAAACUUCUUUUGUACAGGGAUAAACCUACCCUCGUGAGGGUAGCUGAAGGUACUGUACGAAUAAGCACCGGCUAACUCCGUG
This 479-nucleotide ribosomal RNA is filed under the name uncultured bacterium. RNAcentral describes it as "partial 16S ribosomal RNA". It matches the Rfam family "Bacterial small subunit ribosomal RNA", at positions 28 to 507 of the family's 1533-position model. The record is from RNAcentral.